This 1078-nucleotide transfer RNA is filed under the name Numida meleagris (helmeted guineafowl). Its description in RNAcentral is "lncRNA (ENSNMEG00000011528.1)". The record is from RNAcentral. Lineage: Eukaryota; Metazoa; Chordata; Aves; Galliformes; Numididae.
GGAAAAUAAAAGUAAUAAACCUGUAAAAGACCUGCUCUACUGAGCUGAACUAAACAAGAGCCUGACUGGGACAAGUUGCUCCCUGUAAGUUAAUUAUAUAUUAAAAAAUAAAGAUGGAAAAAGACCAAGGUAUAACGAUCCCAUAUAAGCUCUGUGGUAGACAGCAAAAGUUUCCAUCCAUUGAUGCUCUGGUUCUCCAUCUGUUCCUCUAGGGUGUCCCUUAGCUUAAAAGUAGACUCUGGGAUGUUAGAUGUUGAGUUGGUGUUGUUCAGAACAAGUCACAGUCAAACUGCAGCUCAAAACCAAAAGGACAAGGCAGCAGGCUCCGUUUGCUUAUGCAAUACAACUGACCAACUCAGGGAAACAUCUGUUGCACGCAAAGGCAAGAGACCUGUGUGGACAUGAGCUGUCCAGUCUAAGCAGUAAAUGGGAAGAUGCUCUUCCAGUCAGUAUCACAGCUGGACUACCUGGAGCCCGAAACGCAGAGCACAGCUUCUCUCAGCCUUCCCCUAGCGAGCCCCCGUUCAAGCAGAGUAGCCUAAAGCAGCUUGUCCAAGGUCACAUCCAAGCACCCUUUCAAAAGUACAUCGAGCUGUCAGAAGUGGGAUUCGAACCCACGCCUCCAGGGGAGACUGCGACCUGAACGCAGCGCCUUAGACCGCUCGGCCAUCCUGACUAUGCCCUUAUAUGGGAAGCACUGAAAUUCCCUCACUGUUAAACUGUCAAUUAAAAACAAGUGAAAAUAGUUCAUGCUUCUGGUUUCUGAAGAUGCAGAAUAAUAAGAUAUGCUCUUAUUCUGGCUCUACAUAUUCUUUUAUGGAAUAUACAAGCAUAGUUAGCUGAACUGCCUAAGGUGUUCACAUGACGGCAUGCUGUGCUCACCUACACAUCAUUCUCAGCGUCUAGUUGUGCUUGCCACUAAACUGAUUCUCUAAGGAUGUUGGUCCCCCUAAAGAGCUCUCUCAGAGAUAUCAGGUGCCUUAAAACAUUGUAAAUGUUAUAGCUAAACAGAAGAGAGAGGUCUUAGUUACUGCUUCCACCAGGCAUGUGUUGCCUGAUGCGUUAGCCCUGAAACUGC